This 255-nucleotide long non-coding RNA is filed under the name Brachypodium distachyon (stiff brome). RNAcentral describes it as "long non-coding RNA (BDIS_LNC003975)". The record is from RNAcentral. Lineage: Eukaryota; Viridiplantae; Streptophyta; Magnoliopsida; Poales; Poaceae.
CGUGGGCGACUAAAUGGUUGGUCCGGCGAUGGGUGGCGGAUAUGGAGAGGCGGCGGAAGGAGGAGGAGACCGCGAGGAGCUGCGGCGGCGGAGGCGAGCGGUGAUUGAAUAGAGCGUGGGGGAGUAGUGUGCCGGUAGCGGCGGCGGUGGCGGCGGCCAUCGAAAGGUCAGGCGGGGCCAAGGUGUCAGUGCCGUCGCAUGGGCCGGAGGAAGAAGAGGGAGGGAGGUGCCGGACGGGGGCGGGGGAGGAUUUGG